CAGUCGCCGCGGUAAUACGGAGGAUCCGAGCGUUAUCCGGAAUUAUUGGGUUUAAAGGGUGCGUAGGCGGAUAGAUAAGUCAGUGGUGAAAGACGGUGGCUCAACCAUCGCAGUGCCGUUGAUACUGUUUAUCUUGAAUAUGGAUGAGGUAGGCGGAAUGUGGCAAGUAGCGGUGAAAUGCAUAGAUAUGCCACAGAACACCGAUUGCGAAGGCAGCUUACCAAGGCAAAAUUGACGCUGAGGCACGAAAGCGUGGGGAUCGAACAGGAUUAGAUACCCGUGUAGUCCCUGUCUCUUAUAC
Molecule: ribosomal RNA, 301 nt
Filed under: uncultured bacterium
Lineage: Bacteria
Description: partial 16S ribosomal RNA
Rfam family: Bacterial small subunit ribosomal RNA
Source: RNAcentral